UACAGAGGGGGCAAGCGUUGUUCGGAAUUACUGGGCGUAAAGGGCUCGUAGGUGGCCAACUAAGUCGGACGUGAAAUCCCUCAGCUUAACUGGGGAACUGCGUCCGAUACUGGAUGGCUCGAGUUUGGGAGAGGGAUGCGGAAUUCCAGGUGUAGCGGUGAAAUUCGUAGAUAUUCGGAGGAACACCAGUGGCGAAGGCGGCUCACUGGCUCGACACUGACGCUGAGGUGCGAAAGCGUGGGGAGCAAACAGG
This 253-nucleotide ribosomal RNA is filed under the name uncultured bacterium. RNAcentral's name for it is "partial 16S ribosomal RNA". It matches the Rfam family "Bacterial small subunit ribosomal RNA", at positions 524 to 776 of the family's 1533-position model. The record is from RNAcentral.